Molecule: ribosomal RNA, 301 nt
Filed under: uncultured bacterium
Lineage: Bacteria
Description: partial 16S ribosomal RNA
Rfam family: Bacterial small subunit ribosomal RNA
Source: RNAcentral
CAGCAGCCGCGGUAAUACGUAGGUGGCAAGCGUUGUCCGGAAUUAUUGGGCGUAAAGGGCUCGCAGGCGGUUUCUUAAGUCUGAUGUGAAAGCCCCCGGCUCAACCGGGGAGGGUCAUUGGAAACUGGGAAACUUGAGUGCAGAAGAGGAGAGUGGAAUUCCACGUGUAGCGGUGAAAUGCGUAGAGAUGUGGAGGAACACCAGUGGCAAAGGCGACUCUCUGGUCUGUAACUGACGCUGAGGAGCGAAAGCGUGGGGAGCGAACAGGAUUAGAUACCCCAGUAGUCCCUGUCUCUUAUAC